GGAGUCUGGGCCGUAUCUCAGUCCCAAUGUGGCCGUUCAACCUCUCAGUCCGGCUACUGAUCGCAGUCUUGGUGAGCCGUUACCUCACCAACCAACUAAUCAGAUAUGAGCCCAUCUUUCAGCGGAUUGCUCCUUUGGUAUCAUCGGGAUGCCCCGUCGAUACGUUAUGCGGUAUUAGCAGUCGUUUCCAACUGUUGUCCCCCUCUGAAAGGCAGGUUGCUCAUACAUUACUCACCCGUCCGCCACUAAGUCAAAUCCCUUCUUCGACGAAUCUCCGAUGAGAAGUGCUUCGUUCGACUUGCAUGUGUUAGGCACGCCGCCAGCGUUCAUC
Molecule: ribosomal RNA, 331 nt
Filed under: uncultured Oscillospiraceae bacterium
Lineage: Bacteria; Bacillati; Bacillota; Clostridia; Eubacteriales; Oscillospiraceae
Description: partial 16S ribosomal RNA
Source: RNAcentral